Mizuhopecten yessoensis (Yesso scallop) is the source of this 415-nucleotide long non-coding RNA. RefSeq lists it as uncharacterized. The transcript is spliced from 3 exons. The record is from RefSeq and is a predicted model, not a curated record. NCBI's taxonomy places the organism in Eukaryota, Metazoa, Mollusca, Bivalvia, Pectinida, Pectinidae.
AGGUGAUCUGACAACAGCGAUAGAAACAGGAUGACCCGAAGACUACGUUAUUUAGAAGGAGAUGGAACACAGGAUUUAUAUUGGUUCCUGUUUUAGAUUCGGAGGAUGUGUUACGUCAGAGUGAGUCCCCAACGGCUAGCGUUGGUAUAACUUUACCUGCCAGCGGAGCCGGUACUUUCUGGACCAACCUUCACCUCGCAUUGUUGUUGACAGACGACAACAGAAAUGGCGACCCCCAGGUUUUCUGUGUUUGACGAGAGCGAGUUUUCGGACAUAUUGGAGGCAAAAGACAGUUGGAACACAAAAAAGCAGUACAGGCAUCCGUUACAUUGCUCUCUAGCUACCUCACUGAAAAGGGUUUGGACAUGGAAAUUCUCAAGAAUUUUUUUUUUUUGCUAAUAAAGUGUCCCAACUG